CGACCAUUCAUUUCUAUAGCAGUUUUGUCUGCAAAGUUAGUGUGUCAAGCGUUCACUGUGUCAUUUAAAAUUCAUUCUUAAAAAAAAAAAACUGCAGGCAAAGAAAGAAAAAAAAUUUAAUUCUAUUAAUUUGUAAACCGUAACAAAAAAAAAAAACAAAACAAUUUUGAGAGAUUUUUCUUUUGCAGAAAAAGUGAAAUUAAUAAAUUGUGACGCCGUAUUAUAAGGGCAUUUUAUAUGCGCCAUAGAAACAAAAUUCUCUCUGAAAAAAAAUUCAAAUUCUAAUAAGCAUUAUUUAAAUAAUUAUUAUUGUCAGAGAUAAAAAAAAAAACAAAGACAGGAGUCGACAUCUGUGUUCUUAUUACAAAAGCCACUUGAGGAAAUUUUUGUGUCGAUAAAUUGUGGAACAGUUGGCUUUUAAUAUUUUACUAAGAACAUUUAAAAGACUGAAAAUUGAUUAAAGAAAUUUUCAAAUCAAUUAUACAAAGAUGCAUUCUUGGAUUCUUGGACGUUUUUUUUAAAUAUGAAAAAUAAUUUUUGAUUAAAUUAUUAAUAUAAUUUAUUAAAUUUUUCGAUAAAUCGAUGGGAUUCUUAUCAACAUAUAUGUUUAUAUACAAUAUAUAAUAAUUUACGGUUUUUCGGUAAAACGAUGGAAAAUGAUACAAAAGAUUGUUACAAUGGAGAAAAUAAAAAAAAGAAAAUAAUUCUCUAUGAUCAAAAAUGUAAUAACCGUUUUGUUCAAUAUUAUUUUGUGAAAUAUAAAAUGUAUUUAUAAAAA
Long non-coding RNA from Leptopilina boulardi, 778 nucleotides. RefSeq lists it as uncharacterized. The transcript is spliced from 3 exons. Lineage: Eukaryota; Metazoa; Arthropoda; Insecta; Hymenoptera; Figitidae. The record is from RefSeq and is a predicted model, not a curated record.